Molecule: ribosomal RNA, 230 nt
Filed under: uncultured bacterium
Lineage: Bacteria
Description: partial 16S ribosomal RNA
Rfam family: Bacterial small subunit ribosomal RNA
Source: RNAcentral
CGGGGUGGAGUAAUGUCUGGGAAACUGCCUGAUGGAGGGGGAUAACUACUGGAAACGGUAGCUAAUACCGCAUAACGUCGCAAGACCAAAGUGGGGGACCUUCGGGCCUCAUGCCAUCAGAUGUGCCCAGAUGGGAUUAGCUAGUAGGUGGGGUAACGGCUCACCUAGGCGACGACCCCUAGCUGGUCUGAGAGGAUGACCAGCCACACUGGAACUGAGACACGGUCCAG